UUUUUUUUUUUUUUUUAACAAUCCUUCCAGAUGCUACAGCUCAAUAAUAAAGCAAAAGAACAGCAAUAGAAGUACACUGGUUUCUUCAGUCCAGGGACACUAACAGUAGUGAGGCAUCAACGGUUCUUAUCAACAACUCUUAUUUCUGCAUCCUUAUAAAAGAAGAUAUUCUUGAGAAGCCCUUGUGAGGGAACUAAUAAUGAGUGCUGCUGGGUAAUUUUGGUCACUAAUAUAUUCUUGGGAAGCUCCUGGGCAGUAGCCAAGAUGAUCUAUGUGCAACGAGGUCCUUUGGGCUGGGUGCUGGAUUGCAGGAAGAGACCAAUCGCAAAGCAUAGGCACAAACCAACAGAUGUUCUGAUGCACCAGAAAGGAAGGGAAAAUAACGUUACCACAGAGGUAACAGGUGUGUUAGCACUGUGACAGGGAAGCCUCAGAACUUGUGUGCACCAGGAGAUAUUUCUGGAAAUCAAAAUAUUUCCAUGAAGUGCAGUCUCCAUUUCCCAGGACAGGUAAUAAUUUCUCACUUACAGUUCAAGAACAGAAUUCUAAGGCAUAGUCUGUGAUCAUGAGAAAAGUUUUUAUCACUCAAGGUAAAUAGAGAAUCCCUCAAUGGACAAAAUGAAGGGUUUUCUGUUCUGUCAAUGCCACCCAGAGUGAUGUCAAAGACACAAUAUACACCAGAAAUCCACGUGGAAAAAAAAAAUCUUCCUUAUUUCUAGCCCAGGAAAAAUUCAGAAUUAGAACUGAGCUUUAGAAAUUAAGUUUUAAUGGGAUUUCCAUAGACCUUCAAGCAGCCCCUAGAUAAGGGAGAAGUUAAGAUUCAAAUUAAAGCUUCUCUUUUAGCUCUCCCACUGUGCCUGAAAAUGUCUGUCAUACAUGGAAUUAUCCUGUCCUGAAAUGUGAUAGUUCAAAAAGAAACAUGAACAUCUCCUGGGACCAUGCUCAAAGCAAUGAGGAGUGGCUUUUCUGGUUUGGGGAAGUGAAUUCAAUGCCUGCCAACACCAAUAUCUCAGGCAGAACUGCAGCAGCUGUUGAAACUAUAAUAGCUGUGUUCCUUAUAUUCAACUUUUACCUCAAAAACUACUAAUGGUUGUAACAGUUAUACUACUUGGGACUAAAAAUGAGAGUGAGCCAAUUGAGUAAAAAGCAGCAAAUUUGAAACAAAUUUCCAAUUAUGAGUAGACUCUUUUAGAAACGUCAGGUUAAAAGAACCACAGAUGCAAUUUGUUUACGGCCAUAUUGUAAAUUAUGGAAAGACUGGAAGACCCCAGUGCCCCCCAGUUUAUUUGGAAUGAACACAGUUUGCCAAAAGAAGAGGAUGCCUCUGUCAGUGAAUGUGCACUCUCAAGGACAGCAGUGCAUGUUAGCUUGGUACUCUUAAAGAUUAAGAUAUAUUUCUAUGAGAUCAACACUGUCUCAGCAGUAGGGAAAUAUUUAUCCUUCCAGUUUCUUCUAAGAUGGGUGCAAUUAGUAUUGUAAUUUCACACAGGGCAGAAUAGUAACAGAGAUAAAUCAGGUCCCUUAAAUACCACCCACUGGACACUUGACAGUGUUGUUUCAGGUUAAACUUUGUUCUGCAAGCAAAUGUAUUUAUUUAGUAUUUAUCUCUGUCCCAGAAGCUUUGAGCAGCUCAACAGGUAUGUUUAGAAACAGCUGCUUCUCUGUGGCUGGGGCUUCAGCAACUGAUGCACCGAAGUGAUGCAGGCCAUGCAGAGUGGUGGCAGCCAGAGUUUCCACGCUGUGCAGAGGGCUUAGACAAGGACAUGUGCAGUCAUAAAUAAUCCCCUCAAGUCCACAGAUAGCCCAACUAAUGCCUAUAUCCACUGACUUUAGGGGGAGACACUCUUAAAGGCUCAAGGUGUCAGGCCUAGAACUAAGUUUCAUUUACCCUAGCAGCAAAGCAAGAUUGGUAUUUACUGCAGAGAGUUAUUACAAGGGUUAUAGAAUGCUGGCAGAGUGCUGUGAGCAUGAACUAUGCCUCAUAUCAUUAAAUAUGUGGCAGAUGUACCUGCAGAGAACUCAUUAAUUCUGAUUUCUAUUCCUGUUAGUCUAGAAAUAUUAGCAUCUAAUUGUUAGUUUCUAAAAUAUUCCAACAAACUUUUUUUAACUGAAAAACUGUGUCAGCAUUUUUUUUUGGAAUAUCAGAUGAAGUCUCUUCUCUUGUAUGCCCCUCAAGUAAUGUGUUACAAUAACCUCAAUUACCUAACAGAAACUGGUGGGGCGUCAGCAGGAAGGCUUUAAGGAGGAGCUGGGAGAUCUCUGCCCAGUAAAUCCAAAUGAAGAAACCUUUAAUGGCGUAAGAAAAUUCUGAAAAUGAAGAACAAACCUACUGCAUAUGUGAGAUACAAACACUAUGGCAGCACUGUAAAUAUUGUGAGGUUUUACUGUAGUGCCCCUCAAGGAGCAAAAGGCUGAGUGGGGACACAGCCAGCAGCAGAGUGCUGUGUGCUGUAACUGCAGUCUGCUAUAAAGAAAUCCAAAGUAAUUUGCAUCUCUUCUUUCCUUAAAGAGCAUCUAGUGGAAGAAAGACUGAUUUUCUCUCUUCUGAUGCUUUUUUCACCCUGGAAGUCUCAAGAUCAGUUCAUUCUACACAGAAACCAGAGCCUGGAAGUAAUAUCAAUAGCUGUGUACAAAACCCUGUAAAAAUGAAUUAAUCCAUCUUAGUGGAAGACAGAACUCACUCUCCCAAACACUGCUUCCCUGGAAAGGACGGCAGGACACCACAUGUUGUUCUGCAUAGCAGCAUAUGGGGGCCAGGAAUUUACUGGAGGUUUCCCCAGACUGCAGCUUUGGGGACAAAAUCUUCUAUCAGCUUAGACCACUCAGCCUGCCUUGCUAGCAUCUGUUGACUUGAAAGGCUGACAGAGGAAAACUUCAUUUAACCAGAAAGAUAUACCAAAAAAUGGGUAUUCAGCAGCAGUACCUUUGUAAACACUGAGUAAGAAAACCAAACCGUACCAUGAAAUAAAAACUCUGCUUUACACCACAAUUUGCAGCAAUUACAACCCUGGUCAAUAGCAAAGUUGGAAAUAAACUUACUGGCCAACAGAUCUUUGCAGGAAAUAGCUGUUUAAUUAUUUAAUUAUUUGGGGAGGGCACUAAAGAGAAGGGAAAUGCACAGAGUAAACACGUGGGAAUGUAAAUAUUUGCAUAGCCUGGCAUGACUGGGAGGCCUCUACAAGUGACUCCAAAAGUCUCAGAAACUUUUUCCUCCAAGUGUGCUCAGCGAGCAGCAACACUUUCAGUAGGAUCUGAGGGGUUUUACUGCCAGAGUUUUAUUUUUAAUUCUGCCUAAAUAGUCACCAGCUACAUGUCUACCUUUGCCUUCUUUUUGCUUGAUUAGGAUUUUGGAUCAGCACAGUGUGAUAUCUUGCCAUGAACAAGAGUUCAGUCUCCACUCAUUCCUUCAAUACCUUGCACGUUGCAAUUUCACAGAAUUCAGGGUCCCAGCUGAGUGGGAUGAAAGUCUUUGAGAUCUGUUUCAAAGCAGUACCAUAACUCAGAAGGCCUAACAAUAUUUGUACUUUGGGAAACCAAACCAAAUUUGGGUUCUUAAGUAGCAUCACUGCAAAAAAAGAGGAGCUUUUUCUGUGAAACAAAUCACGGUGCAUAAGCAAAAGGCAUAUUGAAUUUCUGAAGUACUGCUAAGCAAGGAUGCAAACCUUAGGAAAGGAUAACAUUGUUGCUUUGAAGUGCAGCAAGGCUGAGAAAAUGUUUUUGACAGGUCUUAGGAAUGGACUUCUGCUCAGUUUGGCACAUUUUCCUUGUGCCUUCCUGAACUAUACUGAGAAUUACAAAGAGGACACAUGGAAGAAAAGAGACAAAGGGGCUUGUAAAAGGUCAAAUGGUUUAACAGAAGCCGUAGAAUAAAUGGAAAUUAUAGACACAGAUUCCUACUUUCAAUCCUAUGUAGAACUUCACUAACAUGCCAUUUAUGCUGUGUUAACCAUCCUUAGGUAGGUAACACAUGCUACAAUACACUGAAAACAACACAUUUAAAGCAACUUCUAUUCUGUGUACUCUGUGGGAUUUUAUCUGUUGGACUUUUGAAGAGUAUUCCUGCUACUCUCUCAGUAAAGCUGUUAGUAUAAAUGGGACCAACUCCUACUGUCACAGACAGCAUAAUACUAAAAGGUUUAAUAGGCUGUUUGGCAGGAGAGAGACAGAAUAGAUUAUGUUGCUAAAUUAGUGACACUGACACUUUGCCCUUCGUUACUCGUGUUCUUAUCUUUCCCCACAGAAAAAUCAGUGCUGGAUGGUGCAAGCUGCCAGGCUGUGGGUUUGUAGUUAGGCUGCACUACAAUGGCCCUGCUUCACAAAGAGGAAUUUAUUUCCCUUGAAUAUUUGUAAUCUGUUGCUAUUAAAGGUUUAAUUAAAUAUAGCUUUAGGGCACUAAUUAACACAUAAUAAUUACAUGCUCUGACUCUCCUCCACACCCAUCAUCUAGCAAAUAUACAAUAUUAAAUCAAAAUAGGCACACAAAAUAUAUUCAUGGCAUGGCCUCACUUCCUUGCUAUUGAAGUCAACAAUAAAGUUCUGAAAUAAUCAGGCAGAGAACUCUUCAGAGAAUAAAUUGGCUUACUAAAAGUAAAUCUUUGUAUCUUGACAAGUUGGCAUUACAUGACAGUUUUAGUAUUCAUUUAUGGGUCACAAUUUUAUUUUCAGUCCUGCCGGCAUUUUAAGGCACAUGGGACACACCAGAAAAAGGACACCUGAACAGAAAUGUGCAGACACAUUGGGUACCCUCAAACAGCUAGAAAGAAAGAUAUGCAGGGGAAAAAUAAUCAUCCAAUCCAACAAAACCAACUGAAGCUGUACAUCAGAUGAACCCCAAUAUAAGCAUUGUGCUUUUCCAGCUAGAAAAGGACCAGGCAGUUUUUUCCAUCAUUCACAAUUAAUGGGCCAGAGUACUGUUCCCAGAGUUCUCUACUCCCUCAAGAAUGCUUAUCUAAUAUAUCUUUAAUCCUUCUGUGUCUUCACCUGAGGGCUGAGAGCAAGUGAAUAAAGCUCCACCAUCUAGGCUCCCAUCUUAUUCUCUCCAAUAUUUAUGAGAGCAAAGAAAUACUUGAACACAUGUUGCAAAGCAUGACUAAGAAAAAAAAUAAUUCCUGACAUUCCAUCCCUACUACACCCACCUAAGUAAUUAUUUAUUUACAAUGGCCUGGCCUUCUGCAAGGCUUUACAAGGGGUUUAUCUGCCACAUGAAUUUGUUUCAGAUAACUCACUACUUAAUGAACCACAUCUGGAAGGAGGGAUUUUUUUUUUCCCUCCUGCCAUGGGCAUUACCCUCUGAAUCCUGCAGUUCUUGUCUGUCCCUGUCACUAGCACUGCAAGCAGCCUCCACAGAGCUUCGGUUCUUAUACGAGCAAUGGGUGAGUGUUGCUUUGGUGCAUUACUUGUUGCUGUAGGAUUGAAUUCCGGGAGACAUUCUACGUGGACGUCCUCGGGAGCUGCUCCAGGCAGCGCCGAGCCCGGGUGCGGCACUCGGUGUUCUCGGGCGCCACCUGGCGGCAAUUCAUUGAUCACGGCACCUCUGCGCUUCCAGCAGGAAUUUUCCCUUCCCGAGGUGGGAGUGGGCUACCCAAACGUCCAGCAAAGCUCCUGAACCACAGCCUGUCCUGUUUAUGCUGCUGGAACCCCACCGUGUCUCAACAGUUGAUCCCAAGCCCUAAAAUGUAGGUCUCGACUACAUGACUCCAAGCCUUGUAGUCAUUCUGACCAGCAGUGACAAGAAUUCACCUCUUGGUAAGAGAUAAAAGUGUGGUUUGUGCCAAGAUCCGGAUUCAAAAGCAUGAAUCCCUUAAGCCCAUGAAUCCCCGUUUCCCUGCAGCUCCCAAACACACGGAUGUAACACUCCAGUUCAUGCGUAUUCCUAGUCCAGACUCUCUCUCUGCAGACAAAGGCAUCACACCACUGUUCUGAGAGCAAACUGCUGUUUGUACAGAUCUGUCAUUCCAAACCCAGCAGAAAAAAUACCUCCAAGAGUCAGAUAUUCCCAUGAGGCACAAGAGAAUUUGGCAUUAUUUGUGUGUGACAAGCACAAUCUAAAUUUACAAGUGUAUGAAUCAAUCAGGGAAUUUCCAAAAGCAUUUUAGAAUGAGAAGACCAUUGAGCUGCCACAUGUAGGCUGUAGAAUGAGGAAGAAAUUCAGCUCUAAAAUUCUCUGCUGAUGACACAAAACUCAAUUUGGAAACAUUAGCUAAAGAAAAAUACAAACCUGUUCCUACAACCACAGCUAUGAAGACAAAUUGCAUACACUCACCAAAUAGAAAUUAGAAGUAUGUUUAAUAGCAGGGCUUAGCAGAAGCAAGUGUACAACUAUGAAACCCAGUCAUACAUUUUUUUUGCCAAAGGAUCAACCCUAAGAAUAACUAAACCCACCCUGUAAGUAUCUCAGUGCAAAGAGGAUUUAGAAAUGGGCAGCUAAUGAGGGAUGUAUUAAUCCUGAUGCAUAAGAAUAUUUAUACCCAUACUCAGUGCUGAAGAAAAAUCCUGACUAUAACCUUGUAUUCAAAUAUUCCAUGAGCAGCUGCCAGUUCAUGUUUGCACUUCAAAUCCAAGCCUGGAAUGCAACUGUUGGGAUGGAAAUUCGCGAGCAUUACUUGUCUAUGAGUCUAAUUAAAGAUACAGACCUGCUGCAAAUGGCAAAGCAGUGCUGGCUCAGCUCACAUGGCACCCAUCCUGCACUACUGCUGUGCUCACACACAACAUUCAGUAACCCACCACUCACCUCUCUGCUCUUCUCUCCAAUCCAGUUUCAAAUAUCCCAAAGGAGCAAACUAUCAUCUUCCCUGAACAACACUUCCAUAAUACCCACAUUGUAAGGAAAUACUCCCUCGUAACCAGAAUAAUUUCACUUUUUGGAGUUUUCAGUUCAAUAUUGAUAUGACUGUAAACAAUUCCAUUAUUUUUUUGGGCUUCUAUGUUUCCUUCUACUGAAGAGCUCAGCGAAAAGGAGUUUUUCGUAUAAAAAAAAAAAAAAAAAAAAAAAA
RNAcentral lists this long non-coding RNA (6992 nucleotides) under Taeniopygia guttata (zebra finch). RNAcentral describes it as "lncRNA (ENSTGUG00000025176.1)". Lineage: Eukaryota; Metazoa; Chordata; Aves; Passeriformes; Estrildidae. The record is from RNAcentral.